UACGUAGGGUGCAAGCGUUGUCCGGAAUUAUUGGGCGUAAAGAGCUCGUAGGCGGUUUGUCGCGUCUGCUGUGAAAACGCGAGGCUCAACCUCGCGCCUGCAGUGGGUACGGGCAGACUAGAGUGUGGUAGGGGAGAUUGGAAUUCCCGGUGUAGCGGUGAAAUGCGCAGAUAUCGGGAGGAACACCGGUGGCGAAGGCGGUUCUCUGGGCCUGUACUGACGCUGAGGAGCGAAAGCGUGGGGAGCAAACAGG
RNAcentral lists this ribosomal RNA (253 nucleotides) under uncultured bacterium. RNAcentral describes it as "partial 16S ribosomal RNA". It matches the Rfam family "Bacterial small subunit ribosomal RNA", at positions 524 to 776 of the family's 1533-position model. The record is from RNAcentral.